This 1570-nucleotide ribosomal RNA is filed under the name Nyctalus noctula (noctule). RNAcentral describes it as "16S ribosomal RNA". It matches the Rfam family "Bacterial large subunit ribosomal RNA". The record is from RNAcentral. Lineage: Eukaryota; Metazoa; Chordata; Mammalia; Chiroptera; Vespertilionidae.
AACCAGCCAUAGCUCAUUAACUCAUUUCCACCAAAUUACUUACACAACUAAAAUAAAACAUUUUUAAAUAACUAAAGUAUAGGCGAUAGAAAUUUUACCUUGACGCUAUAGAGAUAGUACCGCAAGGGAAAACCUGAAAGAGAGACUAUAAGUAAAAAAUAGCAAAGCUUAGUCCUUGUACCUUUUGCAUAAUGAUUCAGCCAGUAAGUACUAGCAAAAAGACUUACAGUUAGAUCACCCGAAACCAGACGAGCUACCUGUCAGCAGCUAACAGAGCAAACUCAUCUAUGUGGCAAAAUAGUGAGACGACUGCCGGGUAGAGGCGACAAACCUAUCGGGCCUGGUGAUAGCUGGUUAUCCAGAGCAGAAUUUCAGUUCUAAUUUAAAUCUGCUAAACAAAUAAGAAAUUAUAAAGUAGAUUUAAGUAAUAAUCUAAAAGGGUACAGCUUUUUAGAUGAGGGAUACAACCCCUAUUAGAGAGUAAGUCAUAAUCAACCACAAUAGUUGGCCUAAAAGCAGCCAUCAACUAAGAAAGCGUUCAAGCUCAACAGUAUGAGUACUUAAUCCCACGGUAAAGACCAGACCUCCUAAUAUAAGACUGGAUCACUCUAUUUACAAAUAGAAGCAAUACUGCUGGUAUGAGUAACAAGAAAAUUUUCUCCCCGCAUGAGUGUAUAUCAGAACGAAUAAAUCACUGAUAAUUAUCAAAAUCAACACUAACUAUAUUACUUGAUCCCAAUAUUAAUUGUUAGUUCAACACAGAAAUGCAACACAGGGAAAGGUUAAAAGAGGUAAAAGGAACUCGGCAAACAAAAACCUCGCCUGUUUACCAAAAACAUCACCUCUAGCAUAAAAAGUAUUAGAGGCACUGCCUGCCCAGUGACCCUAGUUCAACGGCCGCGGUAUCCUGACCGUGCAAAGGUAGCAUAAUCACUUGUUCUCUAAAUAGGGACUUGUAUGAAUGGCCCCACGAGGGUUUCGCUGUCUCUUACCUCAAACCAGUGAAAUUGACAUUCCCGUGAAGAGGCGGGGAUAUAAUAAUAAGACGAGAAGACCCUAUGGAGCUUUAAUUCAACAACUCAUAUAAUUCUUUAUACUCCCCCUACUUUAAGGGACAAGCCUAUUUUAGCUGAGUUAAGAAUUUAGGUUGGGUGACCUCGGAGUACAAAUAAACUUCCGAGAAUAGUUCUACCAAGACUAACAAGUCAAAGUUAAAUUAUAUCAUACUGAUCCGUCAAUGACGAUCAACGAAACAAGUUACCCUAGGGAUAACAGCGCAAUCCUAUUCAAGAGUCCAUAUCGACAAUUAGGGUUUACGACCUCGAUGUUGGAUCAGGACAUCCCAAUGGUGCAGCAGCUAUUAAUGAGUUCGUUUGUUCAACGAUUAAAGUCCUACGUGAUCUGAGUUCAGACCGGAGUAAUCCAGGUCGGUUUCUAUCUAUUUUAUAGGUCCCUCCUAGUACGAAAGGACAAGAGAGACGGGGCCUACUUAAAAUAAGCGCCCUAGCAAUAAUAGAUGAAAUAAUCUUAAUCUUAGCAUACCCAUAGGUCAUUUAAGAAAAAAAAAUAA